This 742-nucleotide ribosomal RNA is filed under the name uncultured bacterium. RNAcentral's name for it is "bacterial SSU rRNA". It matches the Rfam family "Bacterial small subunit ribosomal RNA", at positions 8 to 796 of the family's 1533-position model. The record is from RNAcentral.
AGAGUUUGAUCCUGGCUCAGAACGAACGCUGGCGGCAGGCUUAACACAUGCAAGUCGAACGCAUCCUUCGGGGUGAGUGGCAGACGGGUGAGUAACGCGUGGGAACGUGCCCUUCAGUUCGGGAUAACCCAGGGAAACUUGGGCUAAUACCGGAUACGUGCGAGAGCAGAAAGAUUUAUCGCUGAAGGAUCGGCCCGCGUCUGAUUAGCUAGUUGGUGGGGUAAUGGCCCACCAAGGCGACGAUCAGUAGCUGGUCUGAGAGGAUGAUCAGCCACAUUGGGACUGAGACACGGCCCAAACUCCUACGGGAGGCAGCAGUGGGGAAUAUUGGACAAUGGGCGCAAGCCUGAUCCAGCCAUGCCGCGUGAGUGAUGAAGGCCUUAGGGUUGUAAAGCUCUUUCGUCCGGGACGAUAAUGACGGUACCGGAAGAAGAAGCCCCGGCUAACUUCGUGCCAGCAGCCGCGGUAAUACGAAGGGGGCUAGCGUUGUUCGGAAUCACUGGGCGUAAAGGGCGCGUAGGCGGCUUUAUAAGUCGGGGGUGAAAGCCUGUGGCUCAACCACAGAAUUGCCUUCGAUACUGUAUGGCUCGAGACCGGAAGAGGUAAGUGGAACUGCGAGUGUAGAGGUGAAAUUCGUAGAUAUUCGCAAGAACACCAGUGGCGAAGGCGGCUUACUGGUCCGGUUCUGNNGCUGAGGCGCGAAAGCGUGGGGAGCAAACAGGAUUAGAUACCCCAGUAGUCC